GGGUUGUGAGGUUAAGCGACUAAGCGUACACGGUGGAUGCCCUGGCAGUCAGAGGCGAUGAAGGACGUGCUAAUCUGCGAUAAGCGCCGGUAAGGUGAUAUGAACCGUUAUAACCGGCGAUUUCCGAAUGGGGAAACCCAGUGUGACUCGUCACACUAUCAUUAACUGAAUCCAUAGGUUAAUGAGGCGAACCGGGGGAACUGAAACAUCUAAGUACCCCGAGGAAAAGAAAUCAACCGAGAUUCCCCCAGUAGCGGCGAGCGAACGGGGAGGAGCCCAGAGCCUGAAUCAGCAUGUGUGUUAGUGGAAGCGUCUGGAAAGGCGCGCGAUACAGGGUGACAGCCCCGUACACAAAAGCGCAUGUGCUGUGAGCUCGAUGAGUAGGGCGGGACACGUGGUAUCCUGUCUGAAUAUGGGGGGACCAUCCUCCAAGGCUAAAUACUCCUGACUGACCGAUAGUGAACCAGUACCGUGAGGGAAAGGCGAAAAGAACCCCGGCGAGGGGAGUGAAAAAGAACCUGAAACCGUGUACGUACAAGCAGUGGGAGCACA
RNAcentral lists this ribosomal RNA (552 nucleotides) under Salmonella enterica subsp. enterica serovar Okatie. RNAcentral describes it as "partial 23S ribosomal RNA". It matches the Rfam family "Bacterial large subunit ribosomal RNA", at positions 1 to 583 of the family's 2925-position model. Lineage: Bacteria; Pseudomonadati; Pseudomonadota; Gammaproteobacteria; Enterobacterales; Enterobacteriaceae. The record is from RNAcentral.